CUACAAGCAGCAAUAUGAUGGACCAUGAAGCAUCAGUUAUAGUCUACAAGCAGCAAUAUGAUGGACCAUGAAGCAUCAGUUAUAGGCUACAAGCAGCAAUAUGAUGGACCAUGAAGCAUCAGUUAUAGUCUACAAGCAGCAAUAUGAUGGACCAUGAAGCAUCAGUUAUAGGCUACAAGCAGCAAUAUGAUGGACCAUGAAGCAUCAGUUAUAGUCUACAAGCAGCAAUAUGAUGGACCAUGAAGCAUCAGUUAUAGGCUAUAGUCUACAAGCAGCAAUAUGAUGGACCAUGAAGCAUCAGUUAUAGGCUACAAGCAGCAAUAUGAUGGACCACGAAGUAUCAGUUAUAGUCUACAAGCAGCAAUAUGAUGGACCAUGAAGCAUCAGUUAUAGUCUACAAGCAGCAAUAUGAUGGACCAUGAAGCAUCAGUUAUAGUCUACAAGCAGCAAUAUGAUGGACCAUGAAGCAUCAGUUAUAGUCUACAAGCAGCAAUAUGAUGGACCAUGAAGUAUCAGUUAUAGGCUACAAGCAGCAAUAUGAUGGACCAUGAAGCAUCAGUUAUAGUCUACAAGCAGCAAUAUGAUGGACCAUGAAGCAUCAGUUAUAGUCUACAAGCAGCAAUAUGAUGGACCAUGAAGCAUCAGUUAUAGGCU
Molecule: long non-coding RNA, 654 nt
Organism: Oncorhynchus tshawytscha (Chinook salmon)
Lineage: Eukaryota; Metazoa; Chordata; Actinopteri; Salmoniformes; Salmonidae
Source: Ensembl